GAAAGUUAUUAGGGGUUGCUUCUAACAACUCAAAGAGGAAUAUUAUAUCCUCAGCUUUUU
This 60-nucleotide transfer RNA is filed under the name Lepidotrema longipenis. RNAcentral's name for it is "tRNA-Ser". Lineage: Eukaryota; Metazoa; Platyhelminthes; Monogenea; Dactylogyridea; Diplectanidae. The record is from RNAcentral.